This 989-nucleotide ribosomal RNA is filed under the name Staphylococcus haemolyticus. Its description in RNAcentral is "bacterial LSU rRNA". It matches the Rfam family "Bacterial large subunit ribosomal RNA", at positions 658 to 1648 of the family's 2925-position model. The record is from RNAcentral. Lineage: Bacteria; Bacillati; Bacillota; Bacilli; Caryophanales; Staphylococcaceae.
AUGUGGAGCCGUAGCGAAAGCGAGUCUGAAUAGGGCGUUGAGUAUUUGGUCGUAGACCCGAAACCAGGUGAUCUACCCAUGGUCAGGUUGAAGUUCAGGUAACACUGAAUGGAGGACCGAACCGACUUACGUUGAAAAGUGAGCGGAUGAACUGUGGGUAGCGGAGAAAUUCCAAUCGAACUUGGAGAUAGCUGGUUCUCUCCGAAAUAGCUUUAGGGCUAGCCUCAAGUGAUGAUUAUUGGAGGUAGAGCACUGUUUGGACGAGGGGCCCCUCUCGGGUUACCGAAUUCAGACAAACUCCGAAUGCCAAUUAAUUUAACUUGGGAGUCAGAACAUGGGUGAUAAGGUCCGUGUUCGAAAGGGAAACAGCCCAGACCACCAGCUAAGGUCCCAAAAUAUAUGUUAAGUGGAAAAGGAUGUGGCGUUGCCCAGACAACUAGGAUGUUGGCUUAGAAGCAGCCAUCAUUUAAAGAGUGCGUAAUAGCUCACUAGUCGAGUGACACUGCGCCGAAAAUGUACCGGGGCUAAACAUAUUACCGAAGCUGUGGAUUGUCCGUAGGACAAUGGUAGGAGAGCGUUCUAAGGGCGUUGAAGCAUGAUCGCAAGGACAUGUGGAGCGCUUAGAAGUGAGAAUGCCGGUGUGAGUAGCGAAAGACGGGUGAGAAUCCCGUCCACCGAUUGACUAAGGUUUCCAGAGGAAGGCUCGUCCGCUCUGGGUUAGUCGGGUCCUAAGCUGAGGCCGACAGGCGUAGGCGAUGGAUAACAGGUUGAUAUUCCUGUACCACCUAGCAUCGUUUUAAUCGAUGGGGGGACGCAGUAGGAUAGGCGAAGCGUACGAUUGGAUUGUACGUCUAAGCAGUGAGAUUGAGUGUUAGGCAAAUCCGGCACUCUUAAGAUUGAGCUGUGAUGGGGAGAGGAAAUUGUUUCCUCGAGUCGUUGAUUUCACACUGCCGAGAAAAGCCUCUAGAUAGAUAAUAGGUGCCCGUACC